Molecule: transfer RNA, 77 nt
Filed under: Gammaproteobacteria bacterium
Lineage: Bacteria; Pseudomonadati; Pseudomonadota; Gammaproteobacteria
Description: tRNA-Arg
Rfam family: tRNA
About the family: Transfer RNA (tRNA) molecules are approximately 80 nucleotides in length. Their secondary structure includes four short double-helical elements and three loops (D, anti-codon, and T loops).
Source: RNAcentral
GCGCCCGUAGCUCAGCUGGAUAGAGCGCUGCCCUCCGACGGCAGAGGUCGUAGGUUCGACUCCUACCGGGCGCGCCA